This 254-nucleotide ribosomal RNA is filed under the name uncultured bacterium. RNAcentral describes it as "partial 16S ribosomal RNA". It matches the Rfam family "Bacterial small subunit ribosomal RNA", at positions 524 to 776 of the family's 1533-position model. The record is from RNAcentral.
UACGGAAGGGGGCUAGCGUUGCUCGGAAUCACUGGGCGUAAAGCGCACGUCGUCGGGUCGUUAAUUCGGGGGUGAAAUCCUGGAGCUCAACUCCAGAACUGCCUUCGAUACUGGCGAUCUUGAGUCUGGGAGAGGUGAGUGGAACUCCGAGUGUAGAGGUGAAAUUCGUAGAUAUUCGGAAGAACACCAGUGGGGAAGGCGGCUCACUGGCCCGGUACUGACGCUGAGGUGCGAAAGCGUGGGGAGCAAACAGG